UCCAAAUUCUCAAUGAUGGAUAUCUUGGUUCCCAUAACGAUGAAGAACGCAGCGAAGUGCGAUAAGCAAUGCGAAUUGCARAACCGUGAGUCAUCAGAUUUUUGAACGCAACUGGCGCCGAUUGGCUCUCCAGUCGGCAUGCUUGUUUCAGUG
RNAcentral lists this ribosomal RNA (153 nucleotides) under Uroleptus gallina. RNAcentral describes it as "5.8S ribosomal RNA". It matches the Rfam family "5.8S ribosomal RNA". Rfam says of the family: 5.8S ribosomal RNA (5.8S rRNA) is a component of the large subunit of the eukaryotic ribosome. Lineage: Eukaryota; Ciliophora; Spirotrichea; Urostylida; Urostylidae. The record is from RNAcentral.